This 447-nucleotide ribosomal RNA is filed under the name uncultured bacterium. Its description in RNAcentral is "bacterial SSU rRNA". It matches the Rfam family "Bacterial small subunit ribosomal RNA", at positions 29 to 521 of the family's 1533-position model. The record is from RNAcentral.
AACGAACGCUGGCGGCAUGCCUAACACAUGCAAGUCGAACGAAGCCUUCGGGCUUAGUGGCGCACGGGUGCGUAACGCGUGGGAAUCUGCCCUUGGGUUCGGAAUAACAGUUAGAAAUGACUGCUAAUACCGCAUAAUGUCGUAAGACCAAAGAUUUAUCGCCCAAGGAUGAGCCCGCGUAAGAUUAGCUAGUUGGUGGGGUAAAAGCCUACCAAGGCGACGAUCUUUAGCUGGUCUGAGAGGAUGAUCAGCCACACUGGGACUGAGACACGGCCCAGACUCCUACGGGAGGCAGCAGUGGGGAAUAUUGGACAAUGGGCGAAAGCCUGAUCCAGCAAUGCCGCGUGAGUGAUGAAGGCCCUAGGGUUGUAAAGCUCUUUUACCAGGGAUGAUAAUGACAGUACCUGGAGAAUAAGCUCCGGCUAACUCCGUGCCAGCAGCCGCGGU